This 224-nucleotide long non-coding RNA is filed under the name Medicago truncatula (barrel medic). RNAcentral's name for it is "long non-coding RNA (MTRU_LNC007345)". The record is from RNAcentral. Lineage: Eukaryota; Viridiplantae; Streptophyta; Magnoliopsida; Fabales; Fabaceae.
AGCACUACAAUUCUUGAUCAUACUAGAUCAGUCUAUUACAUCAUGUAUUAUCAACCUCAGUAAGCUUCUAAAUUUCCUUGCUUUCGCACAAGAAAGGUUUGAACAAUUCUUUCUCAAACUAUUCCGACAAAUAGACUUGAGACUAAAAUACAAUUUUUAUGAUGAAAGGUUUUGUGUUGGAUCCAAUUUUCUCAACACUUAUUUGAGAUUAUGAUGAAACAUAC